This 3510-nucleotide small RNA is filed under the name Pan troglodytes (chimpanzee). RNAcentral describes it as "processed transcript". The record is from RNAcentral. Lineage: Eukaryota; Metazoa; Chordata; Mammalia; Primates; Hominidae.
AACUGACGACUCCUGCAGAGUGACGCGUGCCUGGGACAGCGUCUGCUGGGAUCAGGGUGGACGGGCACCUCAAAUAAGUGGGCCAGGGACCUGGGCCUGGGCCCCUCGGACUGGCAGGCACGCCCGCACCCCCGCGCCUCGCGCUCUUUACGGAAGCAGCCGCCCCCACGGAGCGGGCGGAGGCCCGGGGGCCGGGAGCGCGCGUGGAGGCUCCGGGACUGAGGCGGCGCCACCGCCUCCCGCCUGCAGCUGGAGCGCGGGCCGCCGCGGCGACAUCUUGCUCAGGAGGAAAGCGCGCGGGAGAGCGAGCUGCGCUUUAGCUGCUGCGCCACGCGCGCCUCGGGCCUGGGCGCAGAGGAUCGGCCGGGCGCGGCGGGAAGGAGGCUGCGGGCAGCGAGAAGCGGCUGGCGCUCGAGGCGGCGGACGGCACCAUGUCCCCGGGGAGCGGGGUGAAGAGCGAGUACAUGAAGCGCUACCAGGAGCCGCGCUGGGAUGAGUACGGGCCGUGCUACCGCGAGCUGCUGCACUACCGCCUAGGCCGCCGGCUGCUGGAGCAGGCGCACGCGCCCUGGCUCUGGGACGACUGGGGCCCGGCGGGCUCCUCGGAGGACUCGGCGUCGUCAGAGUCGUCGGGCGCCGGGGGCCCCGCGGGCCCCGCACCCCGGUGCGCCCCGCCCUCGCCCUCGCCCCCGCCGCCCGUAGAGCCGGCGGCCCAGGAGGAGGCGGAACGGCGGGCGCGCGGGGCCCCGGAGGAGCAGGACGCGGAGGCCGGGGACGCGGAGGCCGAGGACGCGGAGGACGCGGCUCUGCCAGGGAAUGCCUGGCUGUGCACCUAGGCGGUAACGAUGGAAACCACUCCCUGUUGUGUGGAGGGGCUUUUGAAUGAAGGAAGCGGCUCCCAGGAGGAGCACGGAAGGACUAAGGAGCAUUUUCAGGUGGAGUAACUCAAACAGCAACCUCCUGCAGCUGCUGGAGGAUGACCACAAAUCCAGAUCUUUCCGUGAAGGAAAGCAAAAUUGAGAUGAUUGGAUUUAUCUUGGGGGAUUGCGGAGAAAGCCCUUAGGGUGUGGUGCUCUCUAUCUUUUAACAUUCCAGAUGCUAAGUCUCAGAAUCGGAGUGGCAGUGGUUGCUUUUGAAUAAGCUUGGUUCAAUCUUGGUAUAUUUGUUGUUGAUUUUAAAAUGAGAUAAAUGGUUUGAAAAUUAUGCUAACUUGUUCCUGUAUUUCUACUUUAAGUGCAUCGUAUGAGUUGAGCCAUAAGUGAAAAUGUUACUGUCUUAAUUAAGCAUUAUGAUUUUUCAACAUAAAUAUUUUAAUUAUGUAUAAAUCUGAUUUCAAAGUAUUUUCAUCUCAUUUAUCUCUUUUCAAAAGCACUGCCGGUGAAAGAUGUAGAAGAUAAACCUGAACAACAAACCAGAACAAGAGAGACUGACAAAUCACCCACCAGUACUGAGCCUCGACAGCAACCAAGUGCCUUAUUUGCUAGAGGAAACAGGAAAGCGGUCAAAAGUCCCCAAAGAUCAUCGAGUAAAAUAAAAGAAAACAAGCAUCCAUUUGCUCUUUAUGGCUGGGGAGAAAAACAGACGGAUACAGGAAGCCAGAAGACUCACAACGUCUGUGCGUCCGCUCCUGUGCACGAGAUUCAUGAAUCAGCAUUACGAGCCAAGAACAGAAGACAGGUGGAAAAAAGGAAACUGGUUGCUCAAAGGCAGCGAGCUCACUCUGUGGAUGUGGAGAAGAACAGAAAGAUGAAGGCUUCCUCCUCAGAGAACCCGUGGAUGACAGAAUACAUGAGGUGCUAUUCGGCAAGAGCUUAAAGAAACACUUGCGUGGACAGCCUCUUUUAAAAAGUGUAAAUGACUGAAAGGAAAAACAAAACAAAAACCAUCAAAAGAAACUGGACACAGGUUUAAGAAACCAACUGAUUAUGCAAGGUUUUUUUUAGGGAAUUUGUAAAAGAUUGUUUUAUUUUGAUGAAUAUUGGUCACCUACCUCGGCAGUAGGGCAGACAGUUGAAGCCAUAGACAUUUGGUUAUUUAUGAAGAUAAUUCCCUAAAUCUUUGAUAUUCUUAUAAGGUUUUUGUUUUAAAGCAUCUUAAUCUUUUAAGAUACUGACACCAAAUGCCUUUAAAUGGCAACAGAUGCUUACAGUUCAGUAUUCUUUUCAUAAGCUUAGGUAGAGCCUAUUAUCAUCUUGUUCUAAAUAACUUUCCAGAUUCCAUAGCUAUAAGAUCAUUCCAUCCUACAGCAUAAGACUCGUUUUCCUUAUAUGCCGUUUUGUUUGUGAAAGAAUAUCAAGUCAAAAAUGAGUGUCAGCACUACUACUGAUUCCAUGUAUAAUGAAACUAGAACUUUGCUAGUUCCUGAAAAUUUUUAACUUAUUUGUAUUUCAGUUCAGCAGUAUCUUUAUGUAGAUUGUGAUAUUUAAGAAUUAUCUGGGCUGGGCGAGGGUCUCUUUUUCUCUUUCAGUGAUCAUCUAGGCAGUUAUUAUUUAAUAGUUUAAUAGCUCAAGUACAUUCCAAUAGACGAAGUGCACACAACACAAUAUGUGUGUACAGUAGUAGUAAAGUUUCUUUUGAGUAGUCAAAGACUUACUUUUUUAUUGCUUUUUUUUUUUUUUUUAAGAAUACAUACUGUGGAUUCAGUCCCUUGUCACACUUGACCUUUUGGCAUACACCCACUGUGGACUUUUGCCUCUUCUGUAAUGGCUGGCAAUGACAUUUCAAACUUACAAUCUGGAAUUGCACUUGGUACAUUGGCAUUGCUUGUUCCACUGGGAUGGGGACCAGUGUGAAGAUGCCUGUUAGAUAGACUGCCCACCCCUACUUUCUCUUUUUCUUUAUAGCACUUAACAAUAACAAAGUCUUGAUGAUGUACAGUAUUCAAACUUUAGGUUGAAAUACGUUACUCUUUGAUUCCUAGCCAGUAGAUCUUAUCUACACUUUAAUGGGAGAGAAUGGUGGCGUGUGGGUAGGCACAAAUUUAUGUAAAUAGUGCUCCUUCUCUUUAGUAUGUUUGCUUUGGGGGUAGAAGAAUGGUUUUAACAAACACUGGUUUCCAUCAAAUGAAUGAUGUCUUCUCCAUCCUGUGGAGACAAGAAUCUGCUAGAAGGAUAUGUGCUAAGUUCCUUAUAAGAGAUAACGGUGCUCUGCCUAUGCCAGCUUGGCACCCGAAGAUGUGUGAGUGGACGUGAGGCUGAGUAUUACCUUAGUAUUUUUCUCUGGGUCUUUGGAAAACCAUAGUCAAUUUUUAGAACAUAUUGCUUUCAUUCCCCAUAAACUCUUCACACAUGAUAACUGUUUAAGCUUUGAAAACACAUACUGAAGUAUUGUGAGCUUAAAAAAACUUUUUAAAUAUUUGCAUAGUUUUGAGGUGAAUUUGUUUCCUUACAGAUCUCUCCUAAUCAUUGAGAUGUAUAUUUCAAAAGAGGAAAUUUUACAUGUUGUCCAAAACAGCCUUGCUAGUAACUGGUGAAUUUUGGUAUUAACUAUUAUUAAAGUCUUUAAACGACA